Molecule: transfer RNA, 89 nt
Filed under: bacterium
Lineage: Bacteria
Description: tRNA-Ser
Rfam family: tRNA
About the family: Transfer RNA (tRNA) molecules are approximately 80 nucleotides in length.
Source: RNAcentral
GGAGAGGUGUCCGAGUGGCCGAAGGAGCACGCUUGGAAAGCGUGUGUACUCUCAAGGUACCGAGGGUUCGAAUCCCUCCCUCUCCGCCA